GGGGAUUUAGCUCAGUGGUAGAGUGCUUGCCUAGCAAGCACAAGACCCUGGGUUCGGUCCCCAGCUCCG
Non-coding RNA from Rattus norvegicus (Norway rat), 69 nucleotides. The record is from Rfam. Lineage: Eukaryota; Metazoa; Chordata; Mammalia; Rodentia; Muridae.